GAUGAACGCUGGCGGCGUGCUUAACACAUGCAAGUCGAACGGUGAAGCAGGAGCUUGCUCUUGUGGAUCAGUGGCGAACGGGUGAGUAACACGUGAGCAACCUGCCCCUGACUCUGGGAUAAGCGCUGGAAACGGCGUCAAAUACUGGAUAUGUGAUGUGACCGCAUGGUCUGCAUCUGGAAAGAAUUUCGGUUGGGAUGGGCUCGCGGCCUAUCAGCUUGUUGGUGAGGUAAUGGCUCACCAAGGCGUCGACGGGUAGCCGGCCUGAGAGGGUGACCGGCCACACUGGGACUGAGACACGGCCCAGACUCCUACGGGAGGCAGCAGUGGGGAAUAUUGCACAAUGGGCGGAAGCCUGAUGCAGCAACGCCGCGUGAGGGAUGACGGCCUUCGGGUUGUAAACCUCUUUAGCAGGGAAGAAGCGAAAGUGACGGUACCUGCAGAAAAAGCACCGGCUAACUACGUGCCAGCCGCCGCUGUAA
This 482-nucleotide ribosomal RNA is filed under the name uncultured bacterium. RNAcentral describes it as "partial 16S ribosomal RNA". It matches the Rfam family "Bacterial small subunit ribosomal RNA", at positions 28 to 523 of the family's 1533-position model. The record is from RNAcentral.